This 687-nucleotide long non-coding RNA is filed under the name Macaca nemestrina (pig-tailed macaque). RNAcentral's name for it is "lncRNA (ENSMNEG00000046092.1)". The record is from RNAcentral. Lineage: Eukaryota; Metazoa; Chordata; Mammalia; Primates; Cercopithecidae.
GCGUCUCCAAAGCUGCGUGCCUAGUGUUGCUGUGUAGUUUAGAACCGGAGCAGUAGGACCCAGGGGCCUCCGCAGCCACCAAUAGAAGCGCACACUUGGACCUAUUUGUAUGCAAUGCCUUCUGCUCUGCGCAUUAAUAGUAAUACAGAUAACGGGUUUGAAAGAAUUCUCUACCGAAGAAGGAUUGAAUUUUUCCAGGGUGCUGAUACCGAGAAGAAACCCGACUUCACUCUCUCCCCAUUUUCCCACUCUUAGGUUGAAAAGUCUCAGACACCUUUCGCUUGGUUUAAACUCGGAAAGGUCUCAGUGCACAGCAAAGUUGGAGGGGCUGCGUCUGCACUACGGCGCCGCUAGAUCGCUGAAAACGGGCUUAUCCAAGGACUAAACAGAGGGAAGAGAAUGAUCACAGCAACACACUCUAAAAGCAGGGACAUUCUGGAGGUGACUACUUCACUUGCUGUAUACUUCGAUGGUUGUUAAUUCCAGGAAUGGCCAGCCAAAGAGGUUUGCUAAACAACUGUUGUGUUUCUCUAAUUUUCUCUCAUUCUUGUGUUCUCUUGCUCUCUUUUCUCCUUACCACUCUACACUUCUCCCUCUCAACUUGUGUCAAGACAGACCAGCUUCAUAUUUAACUUCUGUUCGACCAAACCCAUGUUCAGGCAUUUUUUAUUCUAUUUUUGUGAUCAG